Molecule: non-coding RNA, 63 nt
Organism: Astyanax mexicanus (Mexican tetra)
Lineage: Eukaryota; Metazoa; Chordata; Actinopteri; Characiformes; Acestrorhamphidae
Source: Rfam
AGCAAUUUGUGAUGGCCCGGUCUGAAAGCUCACUGUGGCGGGACCGGGCCUGAUGUCGUUGCU